GAUGAACGCUAGCGGGAGGCUUAACACAUGCAAGUCGAGGGGUAAGAGGGUAGCAAUACGCUCUGAGACCGGCGCACGGGUGAGUAACGCGUAUGCAACCUGCCCUUUACAGGGGGAUAGCCCGGAGAAAUCCGGAUUAAUACCCCAUAGUUCUGUGACCUCGCAUGGGGAUGCAGGUAAAGUCGUGAGGCGGUAAAGGAUGGGCAUGCGUGACAUUAGCUAGUUGGCGGGGUAACGGCCCACCAAGGCUUCGAUGUCUAGGGGUUCUGAGAGGAAGGUCCCCCACACUGGUACUGAGACACGGACCAGACACCUACGGGUGGCAG
RNAcentral lists this ribosomal RNA (326 nucleotides) under uncultured Bacteroidota bacterium. RNAcentral describes it as "bacterial SSU rRNA". It matches the Rfam family "Bacterial small subunit ribosomal RNA", at positions 28 to 351 of the family's 1533-position model. Lineage: Bacteria; Pseudomonadati; Bacteroidota. The record is from RNAcentral.